RNA transcript from Medicago truncatula (barrel medic), 934 nucleotides. RefSeq lists it as uncharacterized. Lineage: Eukaryota; Viridiplantae; Streptophyta; Magnoliopsida; Fabales; Fabaceae. The transcript has 5 exons. The record is from RefSeq and is a predicted model, not a curated record.
AGAUAGCGCUUUUCACAAACGCUAUGUUUGGCCUUUAUGAAAAUUAAAAAAAGGCGGAUAUUAUUUUCAUUCUCCCACACAAACUAAAAGAUAACACAUAACAUUCUCUCUCCUUGAUCCAAAGCUGAAAGAGCUUCCACUGUCCAACACAUACCACUCUCUCUCCAACCACUGUCCUUCCUUCCUUCUCGAAAGAGCUUCCACCGUCCUUCUACUCCAAAACUGAAAUCCAAACCAGCUUCUUUCAUCGGUCAAAAUCAAAGUUGGAAGUCACUCUCUCUCUCUCUCUCUCUCUCUCUCUCUCUCUCUCUAUCUCUCUCUCGAAAUCGAAGUCGGAAUCGAAGUAAGAAGUCGGAAUUGAAGUUUGAAUGGAAGUCUCAAUUGAAAGAGCCUUCUCUCUUCUUCUCUGAUUCUGCUUUCCUUCAAGGAGCAUCCGUCGUGGUCGCCGCCGUUGUCUCUGUUUUCCUUCAAUAACGUGUCCUAUGCAAACGAAUGGCAUUGACUGUGGCUAUUUUGUCAUGCAAUUUAUGAAAGAGAUAAUAUUGGCAAAUCAAGACAUGAUCCCCGAAAAUGUAUUACUUUGGAGAUUACAAAUGUAAAACCUAUUCUAAAGAUAAGCUAGUUCAGGUCGAGGAGGAUUGGGCAACCUUUAUGGUCCAGUAUCUUAGAGACUAUAUUGCUGAUAGACUUAAACCGUAAUUGGUUGUGCUGGACUAUAUAGCUUGUCACGAGUCCUCUUAAAUUUAGGUGUUUUUUUGUUGAUAAUUAACUGUGGCUGCUUUUUGGAGUUUGUUUUUUAUUUUUUUUUAUUUUUUAUUUUUAUUGUUUUUAUUUUUAUUGGCAAUUGUGGAUUGACUAGUAUUAUGACAUUCAUAAUUAAAUUUAUGAUCAAUUUGUAAUGAGAUUAUCAUGAAUGUAAUUUGCUAUAUUCAUA